Non-coding RNA from Gossypium hirsutum (cotton), 85 nucleotides. NCBI's taxonomy places the organism in Eukaryota, Viridiplantae, Streptophyta, Magnoliopsida, Malvales, Malvaceae. The record is from Rfam.
AAGCAGUGACGAUAGCUGCGCUUUAGCGGAGCUGGGUUCUUCGCAAUGGUCUGAUUUUAAGACGAUUAACGGCGCUUCUGAGCUU